Molecule: ribosomal RNA, 668 nt
Filed under: uncultured Bacteroidota bacterium
Lineage: Bacteria; Pseudomonadati; Bacteroidota
Description: SSU rRNA
Rfam family: Bacterial small subunit ribosomal RNA
Source: RNAcentral
CUAGUUGGUAAGGUAACGGCUUACCAAGGCUACGAUGGGUAGGGGUCCUGAGAGGGAGAUCCCCCACACUGGUACUGAGACACGGACCAGACUCCUACGGGAGGCAGCAGUGAGGAAUAUUGGACAAUGGGCGCAAGCCUGAUCCAGCCAUGCCGCGUGCAGGAUGACGGUCCUAUGGAUUGUAAACUGCUUUUAUACGAGAAGAAACACUCCUUCGUGAAGGAGCUUGACGGUAUCGUAAGAAUAAGGAUCGGCUAACUCCGUGCCAGCAGCCGCGGUAAUACGGAGGAUCCAAGCGUUAUCCGGAAUCAUUGGGUUUAAAGGGUCCGUAGGCGGUUUAAUAAGUCAGUGGUGAAAGCCCAUCGCUCAACGGUGGAACGGCCAUUGAUACUGUUAGACUUGAAUUAUUAGGAAGUAACUAGAAUAUGUAGUGUAGCGGUGAAAUGCUUAGAGAUUACAUGGAAUACCAAUUGCGAAGGCAGGUUACUACUAAUUGAUUGACGCUGAUGGACGAAAGCGUGGGUAGCGAACAGGAUUAGAUACCCUGGUAGUCCACGCCGUAAACGAUGGAUACUAGCUGUUGGAAGCAAUUUCAGUGGCUAAGCGAAAGUGAUAAGUAUCCCACCUGGGGAGUACGUUCGCAAGAAUGAAACUCAAAGGAAUUGACG